RNAcentral lists this ribosomal RNA (429 nucleotides) under uncultured Methanobacterium sp. RNAcentral's name for it is "bacterial SSU rRNA". It matches the Rfam family "Archaeal small subunit ribosomal RNA", at positions 319 to 748 of the family's 1478-position model. Lineage: Archaea; Methanobacteriati; Methanobacteriota; Methanobacteria; Methanobacteriales; Methanobacteriaceae. The record is from RNAcentral.
UUUCCUACGGGGGGCUGCAGGCGCGAAACCUCCGCAAUGCACGAAAGUGCGACGGGGGAACCCCAAGUGCCACUCUUAACGGGGUGGCUUUUCUGAAGUGUAAAAAGCUUCAGGAAUAAGGGCUGGGCAAGACCGGUGCCAGCCGCCGCGGUAACACCGGCAGCUCAAGUGGUGGCCGUUUUUAUUGGGCCUAAAGCGUUCGUAGCCGGCCUGAUAAGUCUCUGGUGAAAUCCUGCAGCUUAACUGUGGGAAUUGCUGGAGAUACUAUUAGGCUUGAGGUCGGGAGAGGUUAGAGGUACUCCCAGGGUAGGGGUGAAAUCCUGUAAUCCUGGGAGGACCACCUGUGGCGAAGGCGUCUAACUGGAACGAACCUGACGGUGAGGAACGAAAGCCAGGGGCGCGAACCGGAUUAGAUACCCGGGUAGUCAC